UCCAGACUCCUACGGGAGGCAGCAGUGGGGGAUAUUGCACAAUGGGGGAAACCCUGAUGCAGCGACGCCGCGUGGGUGAAGAAGUAUUUCGGUAUGUAAAGCCCUCUCGGCAGGGAAGAAAUUGGACGGUACCUGACUAAGAAGCCCCGGCUAACUAUGUGCCAGCAGCCGCGGUAAUACGUAGGGGGCAAGCGUUAUCCGGAUUUACUGGGUGUAAAGGGAGCGUAGACGGCAGUGCAAGUCUGGAGUGAAAGGCGGGGGCUCAACCCCCGGACUGCUCUGGAAACUGUACGGCUGGAGUGCAGGAGAGGUAAGUGGAAUUCCUAGUGUAGCGGUGAAAUGCGUAGAUAUUAGGAGGAACACCAGUGGCGAAGGCGGCUUGCUGGACAGUAACUGACGUUGAGGCUCGAAAGCGUGGGGAGCAAACAGGAUUAGAUACCCUAGUAA
Molecule: ribosomal RNA, 447 nt
Filed under: uncultured bacterium
Lineage: Bacteria
Description: bacterial SSU rRNA
Rfam family: Bacterial small subunit ribosomal RNA
Source: RNAcentral